Molecule: transfer RNA, 58 nt
Filed under: Podarcis lilfordi (Lilford's wall lizard)
Lineage: Eukaryota; Metazoa; Chordata; Lepidosauria; Squamata; Lacertidae
Description: tRNA.Ala
Source: RNAcentral
GCAGCUCAGUGGUAGAGUAUGUGCUUUGCAAGAAGGACCCAGGUUCAAUCCCUGGGCA